RNAcentral lists this ribosomal RNA (497 nucleotides) under uncultured bacterium. RNAcentral describes it as "partial 16S ribosomal RNA". It matches the Rfam family "Bacterial small subunit ribosomal RNA", at positions 28 to 507 of the family's 1533-position model. The record is from RNAcentral.
GAUGAACGCUGGCGGCGUGCCUAAUACAUGCAAGUCGAGCGAACAGACGAGGAGCUUGCUCCUCUGACGUUAGCGGCGGACGGGUGAGUAACACGUGGAUAACCUACCUAUAAGACUGGGAUAACUUCGGGAAACCGGAGCUAAUACCGGAUAAUAUAUUGAACCGCAUGGUUCAAUAGUGAAAGACGGUUUUGCUGUCACUUAUAGAUGGAUCCGCGCCGCAUUAGCUAGUUGGUAAGGUAACGGCUUACCAAGGCAACGAUGCGUAGCCGACCUGAGAGGGUGAUCGGCCACACUGGAACUGAGACACGGUCCAGACUCCUACGGGAGGCAGCAGUAGGGAAUCUUCCGCAAUGGGCGAAAGCCUGACGGAGCAACGCCGCGUGGGUGAUGAAGGUCUUCGGAUCGUAAAACUCUGUUAUUAGGGAAGAACAAAUGUGUAAGUAACUAUGCACGUCUUGACGGUACCUAAUCAGGAAGCCACGGCUAACUACGUG